GGGGGCCGGGGCCACCGCGGGUCCCUGUUGGCCGGAGGGUCUCGGCGGCGGCGAUAGGCCUGGCAGCCAGCUCGGGCGGCAGGUCGCGGGUCGGGAAGACGUCAGCACUCACCCCUGGGCCCACAGGAGGGUCCCGGCGAGGACCCCCGCCCUCUGGCUCCCGGGGCGCUCGAGUGGGCGCUCUCAGAGGCGGUUGGCUGAGAGCACGGAGGCGCCCAGGGACAGCACCGGCGGAGCGGCCCGCAGAGGGCCAGGGCAGAAGCGCGAAAGGCGCGGGCUGGCCCCUUCUGGGAGCCGUAGCGGAAGAGUGUUCGUGGUCAUGUGACGCGGAAAAGGGCGGACGCGUGGCCCACGCACUGGAACGGGUCCACGAGUCUGUCACCCAGGUUGGAGUGCGGUGGUGUGAUCUUGGCUCCCUGCAACCUCCACCUCCCAGGUUCAAGCGAUUCUCCUGCCUCAGCCUCCCAAGUAGCUGGGAUUACAGGCACCCACCACCAUGAAGAAUGGCAUUUUUAAAAGAUGGCUUUCUUAAAAAAGGAUACUAAGUUGCUCUUCUACUCAUACCAAGGCUGGAUUGCAGUGGUGCGAUUUUGGCUCACUGCACCCUCCGCCUCCCUGGUUCAAGUGAUUCUCCUGCGUCAGCCUCCCAAGUAGCUGGGACUACAGUCCUGCAGACACAUUCUGGGACUGCGUCUUAUGAGUGCUGCUCACUCUGUUUCCUGCAGAAGACAUACAGAGCGGUUCACAUAGAGUAGGGCUAUGAUUUUGAUUCAGCAAUUCUUCAAACCACUGAUGCUGGUUGACCAUUUGACUUUGUUUUUGAAGUAUUUUUUACAUACAGUGUACAGAACAUUUCCGCUGGAUACUUGGAUACUGAGCAGGAGUAACAAGAGGAACAGCUCCUACCUCCCCCCCUGCCCCUUCCCUCACAAGCCUGUGAGUCAGGGCAGGGGCAGCCACUGAAAGUAGCAGAGGCCUUCAUAAAGGAGAAGUGAGUGGGAUCUGAGGGGACAAAGGAUCCCUGCCCAAGUGCAUGUCAUCCAGUGGCUGACCACAGCGUUCACGGCUGCCGCCAUUAGUCUUUCAUCUUUGGAUUGAGACCCGGUCUCCCAGAAGACCCUAUGCCAAUGCAAAUGGCUACUGGACAGUGAUAAUGUAUAAUGUUCCCUAUCCAGGUUGUCAGGUAGACCUUUGGAUUAACUCCCCAAAAGCAGCCCCCUAGGAGACAGGCGACAGCACCGCAGUCAGGGGAUGCAGGCGUGGAGGGUAAGAGCACGCGUCUAGAUUUCAGUUCAGUCUCUACCAUGUUAUUAGCUAUGCCACCUGAUGCCUUGGCUUCCUCAUCUGUCCAAUGCAGUUAAUUAUAGCACCAGCCUCUAGGGUUGAUGUGAGAAAUAAAGGAAUGGAGGCACAUAAGACCCUUAGAACAGUGCCCAACACACAGGCCAAGGGCUCUGUAACUUCAACUCUCAAUGGUCAAUGAUACAUGAUUUGAUGACAUUGUCUGAAGACCAAGGUGCUGGUGGCAGAGUCAGGACUGUGGGUGGUAGCAAGGGAGAGAGAGGCCCUGUGUAGUCAGGGGAGUGGCCCGAGGGGCAGAGGAACCCAAUCAGUAAACAGAGAUGUUUUGUACUUCAAAGUUUUGCCCACAGGCAGUUCUGUGACUGAAGACGGGGAGGUCAAAAGCAGAGGUGGUGACAGCUGGGAGUAACCGUGUGGUGUGGAGAGUCCUGGCCUGGCACAGAGUUGUCAAGAGAAAGCUUGUGACUCAUCCUUUAUUUAAGCCUCAGGACACUGGCUAUAAAAUGUUGUGGUUUUUUUUUUUUCCUUUCAAAAUUUGACUUAGUGGCUAAUAUUUUUUUUAAAAAACACCAUGAGAUUUUAAAUAAAAAUUCCAAUUCCUUUCUUCUCAUGAAAACUCGGAAGAUUUAUUAAUGCAGGGCCUGACAUGUUGCACAGUAACAAUGGGCUGCAGCCAAGUGCCCGCUGGCCCGUUCAAAUGUACCCUCAGUUUGUUUAUUGCAUUUCUGCAACUCUCUUGUCCCCAGCACUGAGGAUGUUGCAAUUUUUUAAAGAGCAUUUGCAUCGUUAAGAAGAAAGUGAAAUACCACAUUUUUCUAUGACUCUUUUAAAAGUAGGAACAUGAAAAAAUGGACUGAGUAAGGUUGUGUCUUUUGAGGAAAAAAAGGGAGAGAGCAUAUUUCUUUAUGGAAGAGAAAGAGGGUGUGUGUUUCAUGCAGCUGCUUCACUGCCUUCAGUUAACUGCUGUUCUCUUGUAGGACUCUGUGUUCACAAUUCCUGCCUAACACAAUACUUUGCUAGGGGUCAGCAACUAAAAUGGAAUAGGGAAAAAUACCGGCUUUUCUUGGAUUUUGGCUGACUUUAUGUUAAUAGAAUAUAUGUUUUUGAAACUCUCCCUCCAAGUUCAUCUAAACCACGUUGUGACAUCCACCAAUCUAAUGCCUUUAUUUUCUUCCAGUGUAUUGACCCUUUUGUGGUUGCAAAAACACUUGCAUGCAAAUUGUUUGUACCUGGGAUUCCUUUUACACCAUGUAACCCUGGCAAUCCUGGGAGACCGGGAGGCCCUGGGAUAUAAGGGCACUGUGUACACAGGAGGCCUGGUUCUCCUGCAAUGAGAGCAUACUAGCAUUACUUAAAAAGCUACAUCAAGUCCUCAGAAAGAACAAAUAUUUUCCAACCACACUAUCAUUUAUUACAUUUAAACAUUUUUAUGUAGUGAAAAUUAUCUAGGACGUUAUACAUAUUAAUUUAAAAAUUCAUCUAUUAUAUAUCUGCUUACUUUAAUGUUCUGAGCUAUACAGUUCUUCUGAAAGGGGAAAUUCCAAGAGUCUAACAUAAAACAUCUAUUUCAGUGUUUCUUUCCUUGCAUGCAGGCAAAAACUCACAUUUUAGGGAUAUCCAACAAUUUAUUGCAUGGGUGCCAAAUAAAUCAUCGAUUUACAGAUAAAUGAAUACUUUUAGCUAAUGGAAAAGAAGUCAUCACUGACUGGUAGCUAUUUGGGAUCAUUGUUAUCUCAGGGGGAAAAAUCAAUGAUAAUAAUGACGAUGAAAAAGGCUUAUCCUAAUACAACAUUAUUGAUUGAACCAACCUUUGGGCCCAUCAACUCCUGGGAUUCCUGGAGACCCUAGAUAGCCUGGCAGUCCGCGAUCUCCAGGUGGACCCUUGCGAAAAACGAUGUCACCUAUAAAAAUACAGCACCAAAGACAAUUUUUUAUUUGUGUUUUUUUUCAAUUAGCAAGUAUUGUAAUAUAUGUAUUAUUUAAAAUGCAUCUCUCUCAUCUUUGUAUUGGAAGCCUAGUCUUUAGAAGUUUAUCUGCAACUGAGAAAGCAUGGUGACCAGCUCUUCACUUCAUAUUACAUAGAUGUGGUAUUUUUAAGGUAGUUGAUCUUUGCAAGCUCAUUGUAUAAUUUUUUUUUGUCACAGAAUCAACCUAUUUUAUCUUACUUAGUUGUUUCCAAUUAUUCCAAGUUGAUAUGGUUUGGCUGUGUCCCAAAUCUCAUCUUGAAUUGUAGUUCUAUAAUCCCCAUGUGUCAUGAAAGGGACCUGGUGGGAGGUAAUUUAAUCAUGGGGGCAGUUACCCUCAUGCUGUUCUUGUAAUAGUGAAUGAGUGCUUAUGAGAUCUGAUGGUUUUAUAAGGGGCUUUUCCCCAUUUUGCUCAGCACUUCUCCUUGUUGCCAUCAUGUGAAGAAGGACAUGUUUGCUUGUCCUUCUGCCACGAGCGUAAGUUUACUGAGGCCUCCCCAGCUGUGCUGAACUGUGAGUCAAUUAAACCUCUUUAAAUUACCCAGUCUCAGGUAUGCCUUUAUUAGCAGCAUGAGAAUGGACUAAUACACAGACAAUCCCUUUAGCAUCUUGAGGCAAAGGAUCAACUCUUAUUCUGGAUAUUUUUGGAUACAUUGUAUUUUCCUGAUAUACUGUAGACGCUUAAUAUAUUGAGUAAAAGAAAAAUGGAUUCUGACUCAGGGUAUCAUCUGUUUUCUCUUUGUUGCUUGUCCACAUCAGUUGAGUUGUCAUCCUUAAAGCAGGUCUCUAAGAAAGCUCUUCUCAGCUUCCACAUUAUCUGCUACUGUAAUGUUGCAGUGAACAGCUACUUCUCUUAAACUGGUUAAUUGUGUUCAGUAAUCUAAUUUUUGGCUUUGCCAUUUCAAUUACAGGUUGAAGGCAAUGGUGAUGAAAGUAAAUAUUUAAAAACACUACCAUAGCUGUCCCAAAUUUCAGAAAAACAAGGUACCACUGGAACCAUUUAAUUUUGUUGGAACACAGAAUGACCAUCUUGUGAUCAGUUUUCUGCAUCUUUAAAAUACCUGGAAGGUCAUCUUUAAAUAGUACAAUCUGAUAAAAGUUUAAUACUUAGUGUAGACUUAUAUGAAUACUUCUACAUUCAUACAUUUUUGUAUACUUAUACAUUUUCAUACUCAAUUAAUGCUUAACUCAAAAAAUAUUUGAGUACCUGCAGUGUUCCCCAUGCUACAUACUGGGCUUAAACAGCCAAAAACACACAGUCUUUGACCUCAAAAUACUUUGAUUCUUGUAAGAAAAACUGACAAAGACAAAGAGAAGGCAAUGUGAAAACUUCUACAGUUGGGAUAACCUUGGAGGUUACAGGAUGUGGACUCACUGAAAGCUUUCUGCUGGACUUGAACUUGAAGCUGCAGUCUGAAGGACAGACGGGUGUUGCUUAGCGAAGGGAAAGUAGGAAGCAAAGACCCCUGGACAGAGUGUAGCAGGCACAGAGGGAGCAUGACACCUCCGGGAGAGAGCCGCAAGCACCUGGGCCCAGAUCCCAGCUUUAGCUUCAUUAGCCCUGUGAACUCUGUAUGUCAGCCUUGACAUAGAAAAAAAGAGGAUACUAAACCUCCAUCUUAAAAGAGACUUGGAAGAAGCUGGGAUUAUAGGCACACCACCACACCUGGCCCCAGAAAAGGGAAUCCUUGACCUGCAAGAAUCGAGGAAUAUUGUUUCUGACAUGCUUAGCGGACCUACUGCUGGUGUUCUUAACCAUUUCCUUCCUAAGUGGAACUUCUUUUGAGGUUAGUAGAAGCUGCAAACAGAGUGAUAUGGAAUUGAAUAUAAGAAAAUACACAGUGAGGAGUGCUAAGGAUUCCUCUGAAAUGUAAUGAAAAGGUAGAUUUCAUUUAGCAUUCAGUAUAUUUAUCUUGAAGGAAAAAAGGUGGAAAUAUCAAAGGUUUGGAAAAAAAAAACCUCUUUGCUUUUUCAUAUGCUAGAUGGAUCAAUUACUUUGUUGACUUAUUUAACAACAGCCUUGUGGUUAAGCAAUAUAUAUAAAAUCACAAAAGUAUUCUAUUAAUAAUAUAACAUAAUAAUGUCCACCAUGAAAUCUGUAAUGAUAUGCAUGCACCUACCAAGUGUUGGGCACAGUGCUAAGUGAUUUCACAAAAUACUUAUUUAAUCUUCCUGGCAACUCCACUAAAGUAUUUAGGAACUGCUAUAGUUUGAAUGUGCUCCCUCCAAAAUUCAGGUGUUAUCAAUGUGAUAUAAGUAAGAGGUAGUGUCUGUAGGAGGUGAUUAGGCCAUGAGGGUUUCUCUCUCAUUAAUGGGAUUAAGGCCCUAUUAAAAGAGGCUUUGAGCAGCCUCAGGUCAGCUUGCCCUUCUGCUUUCUGCCAUGUGAGGAUGCAGCCAAAAAAGCCCUCACCAGA
This is a long non-coding RNA of Gorilla gorilla gorilla (western lowland gorilla), 5680 nucleotides long. RefSeq lists it as uncharacterized. The transcript is spliced from 7 exons. Lineage: Eukaryota; Metazoa; Chordata; Mammalia; Primates; Hominidae. The record is from RefSeq and is a predicted model, not a curated record.